GACGAACGCUGGCGGCGUGCUUAACACAUGCAAGUCGAACGGAAAGGCCUGCUUUCCCUUGUGGAUUGCGGGUACUCGAGUGGCGAACGGGUGAGUAACACGUGAGUGAUCUGCCCCCAACUUUGGUAUAAGCCUGGGAAACUGGGUCUAAUUCCCGAUAGGACUGCAGGGUGGUGCCUGUGGUGGAAAACGAUUUUCUAGUGGUUGGGGAUGAGCUCGCGGCCUAUCAGCUUGUUGGUGGGGUAAUGGCCUACCAAGGCGGCGACGGGUAGCCGGCCUGAGAGGGUGGACGGCCACAUUGGGACUGAGAUACGGCCCAGACUCCUACGGGAGGCAGCAGUGGGGAAUAUUACACAAUGGGCGGAAGCCUGAUGCAGCGACGCCGCGUGGGGGAUGACGGCCUUCGGGUUGUAAACUCCUUUCGACCGCGAGGAAGCCACCUGGUUGGAAGGGUGGUGACGGUAGUGGUAGAAGAAGCACCGGCUAACUACGUG
This 494-nucleotide ribosomal RNA is filed under the name uncultured bacterium. Its description in RNAcentral is "partial 16S ribosomal RNA". It matches the Rfam family "Bacterial small subunit ribosomal RNA", at positions 28 to 507 of the family's 1533-position model. The record is from RNAcentral.